AUUGAACGCUGGCGGCAUGCCUAACACAUGCAAGUCGAGCGAGCGGCGGACGGGUGUGUAAUGUCUGGGAAAAUGCCUGCUGGAGGGGGGUAAAUCCUGUCGACGGUGUCGAAUACCGCAUACCCUCUGAUGUGCCCAGAUGGGAGUAGCUAGUGGGGGGGGUAACGGCUCACCAAGGCGACGAUACCUAGCUGGUCUGAGAGGGGGACCAGCCACACUGGAACUGAGACACGGCCCAGACUCCUACGGGAGGCAGCAGUGGGGAAUAUUGCACAAUGGGCGCAAGCCUGAUGCAGCCAUGCCGCGUGUAUGAAGAAGGCCUUCGGGUUGUAAAGCACUUUUGGCGGGGAGGCGUUACCUGCAGAAGAAGCACCGGCUAACUACGUGCCAGCAGCCGCGGUAAUAC
Molecule: ribosomal RNA, 406 nt
Filed under: uncultured bacterium
Lineage: Bacteria
Description: partial 16S ribosomal RNA
Rfam family: Bacterial small subunit ribosomal RNA
Source: RNAcentral